AUCAUGUAAGGAAGACAGUGAAAGACAACCAACGAAUUUGCCUGUUUCGGCCUAUACUUGAAUUCGAAGAUAACUCUUUUCACUAUGAGCUUGAAAAACAACAGAAUUAUGGUAAUCAACCAUAUCAGCACUUGAUUGUGAGAAUACUUCGAUUAAUGGUAUAGAACCUUUGUGAAAUAACCAAUCUACAACCCCCCAUUUGGCUGCUAAGGAUGAAUUAUACUUUUGUUCACAUUUUGCAGCUCCAGUCCCUAUUGAUAUUACAAGAAAACGACCAUAGUCCGUUGGUUUUAUUGGGAAAAACUCUGGGUUGUUCUUGAAAAUUUCUUUGCUUACUUCUGCUAUUGCAACCAAACCCUGAAAAAGACAUGGCAACAUAUAUUUUAAGAAUAUGCUAAUAGUAUAAAUUUUAUUGUAUCGUCAAUAUAUAUAAGUUAAAUUCUUAGUAUUAAUGAAGUGUGUAAUAUGUACCAGGUUAUUUGCAGCAACGCCACCAUCAAUGAGAUUAUGUUCACUAACGUUGCCUUUGCUAUCUUCAACUUUGAAACUAUGAGCUGGAAGAUAAGUUGGUGCUGCUGAAGUACUAAUACAAACAUCAGACAAUUUUGCAUCAUAACAUGCU
RNAcentral lists this long non-coding RNA (622 nucleotides) under Capsicum annuum. Its description in RNAcentral is "long non-coding RNA (CANN_LNC021649)". Lineage: Eukaryota; Viridiplantae; Streptophyta; Magnoliopsida; Solanales; Solanaceae. The record is from RNAcentral.